This 443-nucleotide ribosomal RNA is filed under the name uncultured beta proteobacterium. RNAcentral's name for it is "bacterial SSU rRNA". It matches the Rfam family "Bacterial small subunit ribosomal RNA", at positions 9 to 455 of the family's 1533-position model. The record is from RNAcentral. Lineage: Bacteria; Pseudomonadati; Pseudomonadota; Betaproteobacteria.
GAGUUUGAUCCUGGCUCAGAUUGAACGCUGGCGGAAUGCUUUACACAUGCAAGUCGGACGGCAGCACGGGGGCAACCCUGGUGGCGAGUGGCGAACGGGUGAGUAAUACAUCGGAACGUGCCCAGUCGUGGGGGAUAACGUAGCGAAAGCUACGCUAAUACCGCAUACGAACUCUGGUUGAAAGCGGGGGAUCGCAAGACCUCGCGCGAUUGGAGCGGCCGAUGGCAGAUUAGGUAGUUGGUGGGGUAGAGGCUCACCAAGCCGACGAUCUGUAGCUGGUCUGAGAGGACGACCAGCCACACGGGGACUGAGACACGGCCCCGACUCCUACGGGAGGCAGCAGUGGGGAAUUUUGGGCAAUGGCCGCAAGGCUGACCCAGCGACGCCGCGUGCGGGAGGAAGCCCUUCGGGUGUAAACCGCUGUCAGGGGGACGGAAGUCCUU